Molecule: long non-coding RNA, 179 nt
Filed under: Mus spicilegus (steppe mouse)
Lineage: Eukaryota; Metazoa; Chordata; Mammalia; Rodentia; Muridae
Description: lncRNA (ENSMSIG00000024647.1)
Source: RNAcentral
UUUCAAAGAUACUACAAGAAAGUCAACUUUUGUUAAGCUAUCUGGAACAAGCAACCAAGAUCUCUCAAAAAGCGGUCCUGUUCAGAUGGCAAAAGAGAAGCUUUGUGGACUUCUUAAAGCUACAUACUUCGGAAGGAAAGCUGAAUGCUGUAGAGCUGUAGGGGAUCAACUAUGGCCAG